RNAcentral lists this ribosomal RNA (494 nucleotides) under uncultured bacterium. Its description in RNAcentral is "partial 16S ribosomal RNA". It matches the Rfam family "Bacterial small subunit ribosomal RNA", at positions 28 to 507 of the family's 1533-position model. The record is from RNAcentral.
GACGAACGCUGGCGGCGUGCUUAACGCAUGCAAGUCGAACGGUGAAGCGCCUUCCUUUUUGGCGGGUGGGGAGGAGGGGCGAACGGGGGGGUAACACGUGAGUAACCUGCCCCCUUCUGCGGGAUAACGGCAGGAAAGUGUGGCUAAUACGGGAUAUUCUGGACCGGUCGCAGGAUGGGUCUGGGAAAGAUUUUGUGUCGGUGUGGGAUGGGCUCGCGGCCUAUCAGCUUGGUGGUGGGGUGAUGGCCUACCAAGGCGGUGACGGGGUGCCGGCCUGGGAGGAUCGGCGGUCCCGCUGGGGAGGCGCCGCCGACCCGCCUACUGCAGGCGGCAGCGGUGAAGAUUAUUGAACGGUGGGCGGCAGGCUGCAGCCGCGCCGCGGCGUGAGAGAUGGAGGCCUUCGGGUUGUGAACCUCUUUCGGCAGUGAAGCAGGCCUGCCUCGUUUGUCGGUGGGUUGACGGUAGCUGGAUAAGAAGCGCCGGCUAACUACGUG